Non-coding RNA from Colinus virginianus (northern bobwhite), 172 nucleotides. Lineage: Eukaryota; Metazoa; Chordata; Aves; Galliformes; Odontophoridae. The record is from Rfam.
UAAGGGAUGCUUCUAGGAAUCAUUUCUGCAGCCUUCCCUUACCUAACAUCUCCUUUAUGCCCACAGUCCAAGCAUCUUUGAGAUUUCUGAAUUUCAGAGCCGAGGAUGGAGCAAUAUUUGGUGAUGAGCUUCUUGUCAUUUGUGAGCAGGAAUGAGGUUCUUUCUGAGUAGC